This is a small nucleolar RNA of Synchiropus splendidus (mandarinfish), 108 nucleotides long. RefSeq annotates it as small nucleolar RNA SNORD46. NCBI's taxonomy places the organism in Eukaryota, Metazoa, Chordata, Actinopteri, Syngnathiformes, Callionymidae. The transcript has a single exon. The record is from RefSeq and is a predicted model, not a curated record.
GGCGUGGGUGAUGAAAAUGUGACCUUAGGUAGGUCUUAUUUGCGCCGUUCUGGUGUAAAGCUUUGGACCUACCGAUGCCAGGACUUGUCAUAGUUACACUGACACGCC